GAUGAACGCUGGCUACAGGCUUAACACAUGCAAGUCGAGGGGAAACGGCAUUGAGUGCUUGCACUGAAUGGACGCCGACCGGCGCACGGGUGAGUAACGCGUAUCCAACCUUCCCGUUACUGCGGGAUAACCUGCCGAAAGGCAGACUAAUACCGCAUGUUCUUCGAUGACGGCAUCAGAUUCGAAGCAAAGAUCCGUCGGUAACGGAGGGGGAUGCGUCUGAUUAGCUAGUUGGCGGGGCGACGGCCCACCAAGGCGACGAUCAGUAGGGGUUCUGAGAGGAAGGUCCCCCACAUUGGAACUGAGACACGGUCCAAACUCCUACGGGAGGCAGCAGUGAGGAAUAUUGGUCAAUGGGCGGAAGCCUGAACCAGCCAAGUAGCGUGCAGGAUGACGGCCCUACGGGUUGUAAACUGCUUUUAUGCGGGGAUAAAGUGAGGGACGCGUCCCUUUUUGCAGGUACCGCAUGAAUAAGGACCGGCUAAUUCCGUG
Molecule: ribosomal RNA, 492 nt
Filed under: uncultured bacterium
Lineage: Bacteria
Description: partial 16S ribosomal RNA
Rfam family: Bacterial small subunit ribosomal RNA
Source: RNAcentral